Molecule: long non-coding RNA, 1168 nt
Filed under: Gallus gallus (chicken)
Lineage: Eukaryota; Metazoa; Chordata; Aves; Galliformes; Phasianidae
Description: lncRNA (ENSGALG00010027782.1)
Source: RNAcentral
GGGGGUUUCAAACAGGCGGUGGCACUCAGGUCUUGUUCUGGUCUAAGGGGAUUUCCACCCGCUGCUGCUCAUUCCCAAAGCCGAGCUGCCGAUAUAAUGGAGCCCCGAGCUCAAAGGAAACGCAGAGUUAAUUCAGAGAGACUAAAUACAUCACAAUUCUCCCAUCGCCACUUAAUGACCACUCCCCUCUCCCCACACUGUGAAUGGGGUCAAGGAGAUUUGGCGAGGGGAGGGGGGGGGGGAAAGGGGAGAGGGUCAGGAGAGGUCAGGUGAGUUUUCCAUUUCAUCCCUCGCGAGCCUGCCAGAGCUAUUCUCCAUGGUGUAUUUCACAUUCAGCUGCGGUGAAUGGACACUGAUAGCUGUGAAAGGAUCUGGCACUGUAUGAACAGCCCUUCCCUAAGCGCCCGCUCUUGUGCUCGCUCCCACCCUUUCUUCCAAAGGGCUUCCAGGGAGCGGGGAAUUAAUAACGUUCAUAAAGAGCCCCUUGGAAGGUUGGAAAUGUAACGUUGUGGGUAUGAAUGGAAACCCGAGGGCUGACAAUACCCUUCGCCCUCCCCUCUCUCUCUGCCGCUCAUGGGGAAUGCAUCUCUGCAUCCAAUCUGUGGCACGGAGGGGAGGAAAGGUGCGGGGCUGUGUCACCUGCAGCAGCCCCUGCCCAGCAGCACUGCCUGCCUCCAGCCUUGGCAAUUAUGUGGGGUAAUUAUUUCCAGUAUAAGAAAGAGCUGAGGUUAUUAUGGAGCCCUGGCAGGUUGCAAACAACGGGAGAAUCUCAUCCUCUGUGGUUUGACGUUGCUGCAGCUGUUUGUUAACCAGGGGUAGGUGCUUGGCAGCCGUAAAGUGGGAAGGUUGCAGCUGAGAGCUGAGAUAGGGAUCCUCCUGAGGAGCCCACGAGUUUUUCUCAGCCACAGAACUGCAGCCAAACUCUACUUGUAAAAUACAUCUCCGGGUGCUGGGAGGUUUGUGCCAUCUGAAAGCAAAAGGUGUGACCCAGAGCCUCUGCGCUGAGAAAGGAAGUGGGAGGUUAACUUCCUACCCGCUGUACUGCUCAGUGAAUGAGUCCCUGUGUGUGAUAGCAGUGGUGCAUUCAGUGUUUCCAUGUGCUCUGCUGGUGCAUUUCUGGGUUCCACAUUGGGCUUCCCCCUGCAUGGCAUCGAGAUCGGGAGAAUGC